Molecule: long non-coding RNA, 499 nt
Organism: Canis lupus familiaris (dog)
Lineage: Eukaryota; Metazoa; Chordata; Mammalia; Carnivora; Canidae
Exons: 3
Source: RefSeq, a predicted model, not a curated record
AGCUGUUUACCAUCUUCCUGAGAGUAGAAUUGAACACACCGAACCAAGAGGCACCAAAUCACCCUCAGGCGUCCCUCACUGAGGCAAAGGGGCCCUGAUAGGUCCGUGGUCCUCGCAGGGGUCCUCUGACCACCGGCACCAGCGUCUCCUGGAACCUGACAGAAGUGCAGAUUCUCGGCCCCACCCCACACCUGCCUACUCAGAACCUCGGGGGAUUGUGUUGGCCCAGUCACGGUAACCACUGGAAGAGGCUGAGGAAACACGUCCAGGUUGGAAGACUAGAGACAAAAAGGAAACAAAUUCAGGCCAAGCCUCUGUGGAAGCUCAGAUGAAAUCUCAGAAACGGAGAAGAAACUGGCGGAAAGGGGUCCGCGGGGGGCUGGGCAGCACAGCCUGUCCACACCUGACCUGCAGGGAUGGAAUCCAGGAGCACAGAAACGUCUGCACGGGAAGUUGACAUCUGAAAAGGCAAAAAAGCACAGCAAAGACACAAAUACAG